This 711-nucleotide ribosomal RNA is filed under the name uncultured bacterium. RNAcentral's name for it is "bacterial SSU rRNA". It matches the Rfam family "Bacterial small subunit ribosomal RNA", at positions 68 to 766 of the family's 1533-position model. The record is from RNAcentral.
UGAUGCUUGCAUCUUUUAAAGAGUUGAGUGGGGAACGGGUGAGUAACACGUGGGUAACCUACCUUAAAGUGGGGGAUAACACUUGGAAACAGGUGCUAAUACCGCAUAACCAUCAAAACCGCCUGGUUUUGAUGUUAAAGAUGGUUCUGCUAUCGCUUUAAGAUGGACCCGCGGCGUAUUAGCUAGUUGGUGAGGUAACGGCUUACCAAGGCAAUGAUACGUAGCCGAACUGAGAGGUUGAUCGGCCACAUUGGGACUGAGACACGGCCCAAACUCCUACGGGUGGCAGCAGUAGGGAAUCUUCCACAAUGGACGAAAGUCUGAUGGAGCAACGCCGCGUGAGUGAAGAAGGUUUUCGGAUCGUAAAACUCUGUUGUCAGAGAAGAACGUGUGUGAGAGUAACUGUUCACGCAGUGACGGUAUCUGACCAGAAAGUCACGGCUAACUACGUGCCAGCAGCCGCGGUAAUACGUAGGUGGCAAGCGUUGUCCGGAUUUAUUGGGCGUAAAGGGAACGCAGGCGGUCUUUUAAGUCUGAUGUGAAAGCCUUCGGCUUAACCGAAGUCGGGCAUUGGAAACUGGGAGACUUGAGUGCAGAAGAGGAGAGUGGAACUCCAUGUGUAGCGGUGAAAUGCGUAGAUAUAUGGAAGAACACCAGUGGCGAAAGCGGCUCUCUGGUCUGUAACUGACGCUGAGGUUCGAAAGCGUGGGU